RNAcentral lists this unclassified non-coding RNA (253 nucleotides) under uncultured Alteromonadales bacterium. RNAcentral describes it as "contains 16S-23S intergenic spacer region". It matches the Rfam family "Bacterial small subunit ribosomal RNA", at positions 524 to 776 of the family's 1533-position model. The record is from RNAcentral. Lineage: Bacteria; Pseudomonadati; Pseudomonadota; Gammaproteobacteria; Alteromonadales.
UACGGAGGGGGCGAGCGUUAUCCGGAAUUACUUGGCGUAAAGCGCGCGUAGGUGGUUUGAUAAGCGAGAUGUGAAAGCCCUGGGCUUAACCUGGGAACGGCAUUUCGAACUGUCAGGCUAGAGUGCGGUAGAGGGUAGUGGAAUUUCCUGUGCAGCGGUGAAAUGCGUAGAUAUAGGAAGGAACACCAGUGGCGAAGGCGGCUACCUGGACCAACACUGACACUGAGGUGCGAAAGCGUGGGGAGCAAACAGG